RNAcentral lists this ribosomal RNA (466 nucleotides) under uncultured bacterium. RNAcentral describes it as "bacterial SSU rRNA". It matches the Rfam family "Bacterial small subunit ribosomal RNA", at positions 331 to 793 of the family's 1533-position model. The record is from RNAcentral.
CCAGACUCCUACGGGAGGCAGCAGUGAGGAAUAUUGGUCAAUGGGCGAGAGCCUGAACCAGCCAAGUCGCGUGAGGGAAGACGGUCCUAUGGAUUGUAAACCUCUUUUGUCGGGGAGCAAAAAGGCCUCGUGAGGCCACAAGUGAGAGUACCCGAAGAAAAAGCAUCGGCUAACUCCGUGCCAGCAGCCGCGGUAAUACGGAGGAUCCGAGCGUUAUCCGGAUUUAUUGGGUUUAAAGGGAGCGUAGGUGGAUUGUUAAGUCAGUUGUGAAAGUUUGCGGCUCAACCGUAAAAUUGCAGUUGAAGCUGGCAGUCUUGAGUACAGUAGAGGUGGGCGGAAUUCGUGGUGUAGCGGUGAAAUGCUUAGAUAUCACGAAGAACUCCGAUUGCGAAGGCAGCAUACCGGCGCCCUACUGACGCUGAGGCACGAAAGCGUGGGUAUCGAACAGGAUUAGAUACCCCGGUAC